CCUUGUCACGUAUAACCGGGGAUUCGAAACCACGCCAGUUGACUAAAUGACAGGUCGUCACCAUUCGGCCAUCCAACCCCCCAAAAAUGGUGUUGAAAUGGGUGUUUUUGUGAAUGCGCUUAGAAAUACUCAUGUGUAAUGAAGUGCUAUAAUUGAACCAUAAUAAUAAUAUAGUAGGCCUAGUGGACUCCUCCGUCUCAUUUUGGUUGAAUGUUUGGAAAUUUGAUGGCUAAUUAGAUUUAGGACACUCUGGCAUAUUUUCUAGGCUUGGCUUCAUGUGGCCUGUUUUCCAUGCAUACAAGAAUUAACCAAUUAGAAGUUAAACAAAAUAAAAUCUGCUCCAAAAUAUUACAAUACUUUUUUUUAUUUCAUUGCCCAAAACACCUUUACAGCCUGAAUGUUAAUUUUGGGGCAGCGUUUAACUGCAUGGGUGGUAAUUGAAUUUAUUAAAUUGACUAACUUUUGCACAAUAAGUAAAUAUAAAUUAUCUUAAUACCCCAACUCAGACAAGUUAGUGGCCUUUCAAACCAAUUUAAAUUCGGUCAAAAUUUGUAGAAAUUUAGAUAUUAUUUUAUUGCAUGUGUGUACAAUUUGUUAUGUGUCUAAGCUCUGUUACCACAAAAAAUAUAUUUAAUUUAGUCCUUAUAGUAGAUUCUAUCACACGUUUGAAAGUUGUCCAACGGUCGAAUAAAUAUGUUGUAGUUUGACCUAGAUAAAUAUAAGACUGGGAAAAUAAAUAUAAAAAAAAUUCCGACAUCUUAAAAGUAGAUACCUAUAUUCGCAAUGGAAAUAUUAUUUUAAAAAUCGGGAUUAUUUAAUUUGAUACAACUGAAUAAAAUGGCUCUAGUCGAUCUAUUUAAAAAAACAUCAACCAAAUAUACGAGUUGGGCAACUGCCAGUGCAGUACUGCAUCCGUCGUGAUCCGAAUAAAGCUUAUAUUGUCCACAUUGAUUAAACUAUCAUUAUUAAAAUCAUUUUGAUUCUUCUAUAUUUGUACGUACUUUUUUACAACUCUGAACCCGGAAGCGAGGUAUUCUGGGAAGGGUAUUUUAAAGAUGGCGGGCGUUUUGUUAUUUAUUCGUGGAGUGCAUGAGAAAUGUUCAAUAUACAGCUACUUGGAUUACACAAACAGAGAAAGAUAGAUUAUACCAGUUAAAUUGAGAGGUUUUAUUUGAAAACCCUAUAUUUGAGCACCAUUCAUGGCAGUCAUGUCGAGGAAGUUAUAAAAAGGCUGAUAAGGGCUUUGUAUAUGGAAGCUAGAUGACAUUACUACUUAUCAUACACAACUAUUUGUCACAUACCGACUUGGGAUUGAAACCAAGCGACUGAACUCAAUAACACUCCUCAAUAACACUCGUCUAUGAAACCACCCAGAUGGCAAAGAAAUAAAGACUUUUUAAUUAUGUAACGAACUCAUAUAUGUAUCUAUGGUAGCACAAAAUUCACCAGAAUGUAGGCCAAAGCUUUACUUUACAAGCAGUAGGCUUAAAAUAUUUUCCGUCUGAUCUUGUAAGAGUCAAUUGUUUAUGAAUAGUUUGCCUCAAGCAGAUAUCCUGUCACUGUGUCACAGUAUCAUAUAACCGCUCUUUGGCUUGAACUGAGUUGUAUCAGUGAGUUGAAAAUCUACUGCAGCCAGUAUAUUAGAUUCAAAAUUCUAACGAGCUUUCGUCUAACUUCUAACUUCUGUUCAUGUAUUUUUUAACUUCUAUUCAUGUAAUUUCUAACUUCUAUUCAUGUAUUUUGUUAAAUUAAGACAAUGUAUAAUCCAACUUCUUUAUU
This is a long non-coding RNA of Patella vulgata (common limpet), 1779 nucleotides long. RefSeq lists it as uncharacterized. The transcript has 3 exons. NCBI's taxonomy places the organism in Eukaryota, Metazoa, Mollusca, Gastropoda, Patellidae. The record is from RefSeq and is a predicted model, not a curated record.